AGCAGUAGCCGCGGUAAAACGUAGGUGGCGAGCGUUGUCCGGAAUUAUUGGGCGUAAAGGGAGCGCAGGCGGGCGAGUAAGUCUUUCUUAAAAGUGCGGGGCUCAACCCCGUGAGGGGAGAGAAACUACUCAUCUUGAGUGCAGGAGAGGAAAGCGGAAUUCCUAGUGUAGCGGUGAAAUGCGUAGAUAUUAGGAAGAACACCAGUGGCGAAGGCGGCUUUCUGGACUGUAACUGACGCUGAGGCUCGAAAGCCAGGGGAGCGAACGGGAUUAGAUACCCGCGUAGUCCCUGUCUCUUAUACA
RNAcentral lists this ribosomal RNA (303 nucleotides) under uncultured bacterium. Its description in RNAcentral is "partial 16S ribosomal RNA". It matches the Rfam family "Bacterial small subunit ribosomal RNA", at positions 507 to 809 of the family's 1533-position model. The record is from RNAcentral.